AAUUGAACUGACUCAGUUAAACCACCAAACCGUCAUAUUUAGUUCGAUUCGGAUCGGGUUGGAUGGUUUAGAUGGUAUAGUCAGAAUUUUUUACACCCCUAACAUAGAUAUACAGAUUCCUCCAUGUAUAUACAUAUGUAUGUGUGUGUGUAUGUACGCAUGCAUGCAUGUAUAUGUGCAUGUAUAUAUGUAUAUAUGUAUGUAUAUAUGUGUUGGAAAGGAUCCCUCAUAAGUAUGGAAUAGAGAUCCUCCAUCUAAGAUCGCUAACCCAGAUGAUGCAUGAUGUCGAUACCACAAU
Molecule: long non-coding RNA, 298 nt
Filed under: Elaeis guineensis (African oil palm)
Lineage: Eukaryota; Viridiplantae; Streptophyta; Magnoliopsida; Arecales; Arecaceae
Description: long non-coding RNA (EGUI_LNC033278)
Source: RNAcentral